AACGCGCAGCAUUCUGUAGCAAUACAGGUAUGUGGGCGCGUGGCGAACGGGUGCGUAACACGUGGAUAACCUUCCUUCAGGUGGGGAAUAACCCAGUGAAAAUUGGGCUAAUACCGCAUAACAUCGCGAUGGCACAUGCUGUUGCGUUCAAAGGCGCAAGUCGCCAGAAGAGGGAUCCGCGGCCGAUUAGCUUGUUGGCGAGGUAAUGGCUCACCAAGGCAUUGAUCGGUAGCCGGACUGAGAGGUUGGCCGGCCACACUGGAACUGAGACACGGUCCAGACUCCUACGGGAGGCAGCAGUGGGGAAUCUUGCACAAUGGACGAAAGUCUGAUGCAGCAACGCCGCGUGGGGGAUGAAGCUUCUCGGAGUGUAAACCCCUUUCGACCCGGAAGAAAGCCCGCAAGGGUUUGACGGUACGGGUAUAAGAAGCCCCGGCUAACUACGUGCCAGCAGCCGCGGUAAAACGUAGGGGGCCAGCGUUGCUCGGAAUUACUGGGCGUAAAGGGUCCGUAGGCGGUGUGGCAAGUCGGUAGUGAAAUCUCUGGGCUUAACUCAGAGGCUGCUGCCGAAACUGCUGUGCUANAGUGCGAGAGAGGCGAGUGGAAUUGCGGGUGUAGCGGUGAAAUGCGUAGAUAUCCGCAGGAACAUCCGAGGCG
This 657-nucleotide ribosomal RNA is filed under the name uncultured bacterium. RNAcentral's name for it is "bacterial SSU rRNA". It matches the Rfam family "Bacterial small subunit ribosomal RNA", at positions 65 to 717 of the family's 1533-position model. The record is from RNAcentral.